GAUGAAGAACGCAGCGAAAUGCGAUAAGUAAUGUGAAUUGCAGAAUUCAGUGAAUCAUCGAAUCUUUGAACGCACAUUGCGCCCCCUGGUAUUCCGGGGGGCAUGCCUGUCCGAGCGUCAUUGCUGCCCUCAAGCCCGGCUUGUGUGUUGGGCCCUGCUCCCCCGGGGGCAGGCCCGAAAGGCAGUGGCGGCACCGCGUCCGAUCCUCGAGCGUAUGGGGCUUUGUCACCCGCUCUGUAGGCCCGGCCGGCGCUUGCCGACCCCCAUCAAUCUUUUUUCAGGUUGACCUCGGAUCAGGUAGGGAUACCCGCUGAACUUAAGCAUAUCAAUAAGCGGAGGA
This 340-nucleotide unclassified non-coding RNA is filed under the name soil metagenome. RNAcentral describes it as "partial contains 5.8S ribosomal RNA, internal transcribed spacer 2, and large subunit ribosomal RNA". The stretch from base 1 to 120 matches the Rfam family "5.8S ribosomal RNA", at positions 35 to 154 of the family's 154-position model. The record is from RNAcentral.